This is a long non-coding RNA of Entelurus aequoreus (snake pipefish), 1005 nucleotides long. RefSeq lists it as uncharacterized. The record is from RefSeq and is a predicted model, not a curated record. Lineage: Eukaryota; Metazoa; Chordata; Actinopteri; Syngnathiformes; Syngnathidae. The transcript has 3 exons.
CUGUCCUGUCAGCACACCUGUUCAUUGUUUAAUUAGUUGUAUUUAGUUCCACCUGGGUCUUUCCUUCUUUGUUGGAUCAUUCCUGCUCUUCCUUUUGAGAUGCUUGGUGUGCUGUUUUGGGUUCCACGCCUCUUUACAAACAUCACACCACUGAGGAGUCGUCCGAGAACUUCUACAGAUGGCAGCAGUUGGAGUCAUACCUGAAGUCUGAGGUGUAAGGCGUGAACAGUUUCACCUGCAGCCGGGCUGGCUGGAUGGUGUUAAAAAACAUUGGAGAACAUGACUCUCACCGCACUUCCUGUGGUCUCCAAGUGGGUGAAGGCCUGAUGCAGCAGGUAGAUGGUGUCAUCCACCCCAAUGCUUGGACAGUAAGCAAACUGCAAGGGGGUCCAUUGCUGACACUGUUUGCGCGCGAAGGUGGCUGAGGAUGAUCUUCAUGAGGUGGGAGGUCAGUGCAACAGGUCUGAAUUGGUUCGGUUCCUUGGGAUGAGGGGUUUUAGGGAUUAGAACUAGACAAGACGUCUUCCAAAAAGUUGGGACUUUUUCCAGGCUGAGGCACAGGUUUAAAAAUUUUGUGAACCAUCACAUUACCUGAGUAUCCUGGAACCGAUGCCACCUGGGCCUUGUAGCCUUCUUGACCUUGUUUCUUCCCAAGUCUCUCCUCUCUUGAUCCAUACUGAUGGAAUGUUGGAUUGGUGAUGGCUGGGUAUGUUGAACUGGGCUGGUGGGUUUUGGAGGGCUGUCUGAGAGGGGUUUGUUGGGUAGGUGUGGUCCAUGCUGAGUUGUGAAAGGCUCGGGCUGGUGUGGAACGGGGGUUGAAUGUGAAGGUGUUGCAGUGGGGCCAGACUUAAACCUGUUGAAAAAAACAUUCAGUUUGUUGCCCCACUCUUGGUCGCCAGAAGCUUGGUGGUUGGUUCACAUAUGUUAUUUUGCUCCAGCUGUUGUUCCAGUUUUGUUUUGUUAUUCAUGUUGUCAGUGCUCCUAAACCUCUCUUGGUUGUGUUUC